RNAcentral lists this ribosomal RNA (211 nucleotides) under uncultured bacterium. RNAcentral describes it as "partial 16S ribosomal RNA". It matches the Rfam family "Bacterial small subunit ribosomal RNA", at positions 584 to 793 of the family's 1533-position model. The record is from RNAcentral.
UAAGUUUGAUGUCAAAUAUGAUGGCUCAACCAUCAAGAGGCGUUGAAAACUGUUUAUCUAGAAUCUCGGAGAGGUAAGUGGAAUUCCAUGUGUAGCGGUGGAAUGCGUAGAUAUAUGGAGGAACACCAAUGGCGAAGGCAGCUUACUGGACGAAGAUUGACGCUGAGGUGCGAAAGCGUGGGUAGGCAAACAGGAUUAGAUACCCUGGUAG